Molecule: unclassified non-coding RNA, 257 nt
Filed under: air metagenome
Description: partial contains small subunit ribosomal RNA, internal transcribed spacer 1, and 5.8S ribosomal RNA
Rfam family: Eukaryotic small subunit ribosomal RNA (bases 1-46)
Source: RNAcentral
AAGUCGUAACAAGGUUUCCGUAGGUGAACCUGCGGAAGGAUCAUUACCGAGUGCGGGUUCCAACGAGCCCAACCUCCCACCCGUGUUUACCGUCACCGCGUUGCCUCGGCGGGCCCACUGGGGCCUGGCCCCGGUCGCCGGGGGGCACCUGCCCCCGGGCCCGCGCCCGCCGAAGCACCCUGGAACCCUGCCUGAAUAGUGAGUCUGAGUGAGAUUUUGAAUCAUUAAAACUUUCAACAACGGAUCUCUUGGUUCCG